GACCUCUUCGGAGGUCAGCGGCGGACGGGUGAGGAACACGUGGGUAAUCUGCCUUUCAGACUGGAAUAACGCCCGGAAACGGGCGCUAAUGCCGGAUACGCCCGAUGGGAGGCAUCUCUUGUCGGGGAAAGGGCCAACCGGUCCGCUGAGAGAGGAGCCCGCGGCGCAUUAGCUGGUUGGCGGGGUAACGGCCCACCAAGGCGACGAUGCGUAGCCGGCCUGAGAGGGUGAACGGCCACACUGGGACUGAGACACGGCCCAGACUCCUACGGGAGGCAGCAGUAGGGAAUCUUCCGCAAUGGGCGCAAGCCUGACGGAGCAACGCCGCGUGAGCGAAGAAGGCCUUCGGGUUGUAAAGCUCUGUUGCUCGGGGAGAGUGGCGCGGGGAGGGGAAAGCCCUGCGCGAGACGGUACCGAGUGAGGAAGCCCCGGCUAACUACGUGCCAGCAGCCGCGGUAAAACGUAGGGGGCGAGCGUUGUCCGGAAUCACUGGGCGUAAAGGGUGCGUAGGCGGUCGAGCAAGUCUGGAGUGAAAGUCCGUGGCUCAACCAUGGGAUGGCUCUGGAAACUGCUUGACUUGAGUGCUGGAGAGGCAAGGGGAAUUCCACGUGUAGCGGUGAAAUGCGUAGAGAUGUGGAGGAAUACCAGUGGCGAAGGCGCCUU
RNAcentral lists this ribosomal RNA (663 nucleotides) under Alicyclobacillus vulcanalis. Its description in RNAcentral is "bacterial SSU rRNA". It matches the Rfam family "Bacterial small subunit ribosomal RNA", at positions 69 to 727 of the family's 1533-position model. The record is from RNAcentral. Lineage: Bacteria; Bacillati; Bacillota; Bacilli; Caryophanales; Alicyclobacillaceae.